RNAcentral lists this ribosomal RNA (253 nucleotides) under uncultured bacterium. RNAcentral describes it as "partial 16S ribosomal RNA". It matches the Rfam family "Bacterial small subunit ribosomal RNA", at positions 524 to 776 of the family's 1533-position model. The record is from RNAcentral.
UACGGAGGGGGCUAGCGUUGUUCGGAAUUACUGGGCGUAAAGCGCACGUAGGCGGCUUUGUAAGUUAGAGGUGAAAGCCCGGGGCUCAACUCCGGAAUUGCCUUUAAGACUGCAUCGCUAGAAUUGUGGAGAGGUAAGUGGAAUUCCGAGUGUAGAGGUGAAAUUCGUAGAUAUUAGGAAGAACACCAGUGGCGAAGGCGACUUACUGGACACAUACUGACGCUGAGGUGCGAAAGCGUGGGGAGCAAACAGG